AGUGAACGCUGGCGGCGGGCCUAAUACAUGCAAGUCGAGCGGACGCACAGUAAGCGUUCGCCCUUAAGGGUGGCGGGUGACGGGUGGGUAAGGCGUAGAUAGGCUUCCUAUUAUACGGGGGGAAUUUCGUGAAGACACAUCUGAUACCAGCGAAUAUGAUCUACGGCAGGAAUCAGGAGAUAUAGACGGUUUGGCUGUCACUUAGAGAUGGAGCCGGGCUGCAUUAGCUAGUUGGUAAGGUAACGGCUCACCAAGGCAACGAUGCGUAGCCGACCUGAGAGGAUGAUCAGCCACACUGGAACUGAGACACGGUCCAGACUCCUACGGGAGGCAGCAGUAGGGAAUCUUCGGCAAUGGGCGCAAGCCUGAUGGAGCCAUGCCGCGUGAGUGAUGAAGGUCUUCGGAUUGUAAAACUCUGUUAUUGGGAAAGAAAAGCUGUGUGAGUAACCCUCGACAUCCUGACGGUACCCAAAGAGUAAGCACCGGCUAACUACGUG
RNAcentral lists this ribosomal RNA (497 nucleotides) under uncultured bacterium. RNAcentral describes it as "partial 16S ribosomal RNA". It matches the Rfam family "Bacterial small subunit ribosomal RNA", at positions 29 to 507 of the family's 1533-position model. The record is from RNAcentral.